This 500-nucleotide ribosomal RNA is filed under the name uncultured bacterium. Its description in RNAcentral is "partial 16S ribosomal RNA". It matches the Rfam family "Bacterial small subunit ribosomal RNA", at positions 30 to 523 of the family's 1533-position model. The record is from RNAcentral.
AUUGAACGCUGGCGGCAGGCUUAACACAUGCAAGUCGAGCGGAGCGAGGGUGCUUGCACCUUAGCUUAGCGGCGGACGGGUGAGUAAUGCUUAGGAAUCUGCCUAUUAGUGGGGGACAACAUUCCGAAAGGAAUGCUAAUACCGCAUACGUCCUACGGGAGAAAGCGGGGGCUCUUCGGACCUCGCGCUAACAGAUGAGCCUAGGUCGGAUUAGCUAGUUGGUGGGGUAAUGGCACACCAAGGCGACGAUCCGUUACUGGUCUGAGAGGAGGAUCAGUCACACUGGAACGGAGACACGGUCCAGACUCCUACGGGAGGCAGCAGUGGGGAAUAUUGGACAAUGGGCGAAAGCCUGAUCCAGCCAUGCCGCGUGUGUGAAGAAGGUCUUCGGAUUGUAAAGCACUUUAAGUCGGGAGGAAGGGCUGUAGGCUAAUACCUUGCAGUUUUGACGUUACCGACAGAAUAAGCACCGGCUAACUUCGUGCCAGCCGCCGCAGUAA